CCUACGGGCGGCAGCAGUGGGGAAUAUUGGAAAUGGGCAAAAGCCUGAUCCAGCCAUGCCGCGUGUGUGAAGAAGGCCUUCGGGUUGUAAAGCACUUUCAGUGGGGAAGAAAGCCUUGGGGCUAAUACCCUCGAGGAAGGACAUCACCCACAGAAGAAGCACCGGCUAACUCCGUGCCAGCAGCCGCGGUAAUACGGAGGGUGCGAGCGUUAAUCGGAAUUACUGGGCGUAAAGCGCGCGUAGGCGGUCUGAUAAGCCGGUUGUGAAAGCCCCGGGCUCGACCUGGGAACGGCAUCCGGAACUGUCAGGCUAGAGUGCAGGAGAGGAAGGUAGAAUUCCCGGUGUAGCGGUGAAAUGCGUAGAGAUCGGGAGGAAUACCAGUGGCGAAGGCGGCCUUCUGGACUGACACUGACGCUGAGGUGCGAAAGCGUGGGUAGCAAACAGGAUUAGAUACCCCAGUAGUC
Molecule: ribosomal RNA, 464 nt
Filed under: Vreelandella stevensii
Lineage: Bacteria; Pseudomonadati; Pseudomonadota; Gammaproteobacteria; Oceanospirillales; Halomonadaceae
Description: partial 16S ribosomal RNA
Rfam family: Bacterial small subunit ribosomal RNA
Source: RNAcentral